RNAcentral lists this ribosomal RNA (729 nucleotides) under uncultured bacterium. Its description in RNAcentral is "bacterial SSU rRNA". It matches the Rfam family "Bacterial small subunit ribosomal RNA", at positions 39 to 814 of the family's 1533-position model. The record is from RNAcentral.
GCGGAGACAAAGAAAUGCAAGUCGAACGAAGUAGCAAUACUUAGUGGCAGACGGGUGAGUAACAUGUAGGUAUCUGCCCUUUGGCCUGGAAUAACACGAGGAAACUUGUGCUAAUACCGGAUAAGUCUUUACGGAGAAAGCUUUAUGCACCAUUGGAUGAGCCUGCACUUGAUUAGUUUGUUGGUGGGGUAAUGGCCUACCAAGACUGUGAUCAAUAGCUGAUUUGAGAGGAUGAUCAGCCACAUUGGGACUGAGACACGGCCCAAACUCCUACGGGAGGCAGCAGUGGGGAAUCUUGCACAAUGGAGGAAACUCUGAUGCAGCGAUGCCGCGUGAGUGAAGAAGGCCCUUGGGUUGUAAAGCUCUUUCGUCGGGGAAGAAAAUGACUGUACCCGAAUAAGAAGGUCCGGCUAACUUCGUGCCAGCAGCCGCGGUAAUACGAAGGGACCUAGCGUAGUUCGGAAUUACUGGGCUUAAAGAGUUCGUAGGUGGUUGAAAAAGUUAGUGGUGAAAUCCCAGAGCUUAACUCUGGAACUGCCAUUAAAACUUUUCAGCUAGAGUAUGAUAGAGGAAAGCAGAAUUUCAAGUGUAGAGGUGAAAUUCGUAGAUAUUAGAAAGAAUACCAAUUGCGAAGGCAGCUUUCUGGAUCAUUACUGACACUGAGGAACGAAAGCAUGGGUAGCGAAGAGGAUUAGAUACCCUCGUAGUCCAUGCCCGUAAACGAUGUGU